UUUAUUGAGAGUUUGAUCCUGGCUCAGGAUGAACGCUGGCGGCGUGUCUAAGGCAUGCAAGUCGAAUGGGUUUAGACCCAUGGCAAACGGGUGAGUAACACAUUGGUAACUUACCUCGAAGUUCGGCAUAACCUUCCGAAAGGAAGAAUAAUACCGGAUGUGGUCAUCAGACGAAUGUCUGGUGAGUAAAGAUUUAUCGCUUCGAGAGAGACCUAUGUCUUAUCAGCUAGUUGGUGGGGUAAAAGCCUACCAAGGCUAUGACGAGUAGCGGGUGUGAGAGCACGACCCGCCUCACUGGGACUGAGACACUGCCCAGACUCCUACGGGAGGCUGCAGUCAAGAAUAUUCCACAAUGGACGAAAGUCUGAUGGAGCGACGCCGCGUGAUCGAUGAAGCCCUUCGGGGUGUAAAGAUCUUUUAUUAGGGAAGAACUUUUGACGGUACCUAAUGAAUAAGGGGUUGCUAACUCUGUGCCAGCAGCAGCGGUAAUACAGAGACCCCGAGCGUUAUCCGGAUUUAUUGGGCGUAAAGCGUGCGCAGACGGUUUUUUAAGUCUGUGGUUAAAUCUUGGUGCUUAACAUCAAGACUGCCAUGGAAACUGGAAGACUAGAGGAUGGAAGAGGUCAACGGAAUUGCCAGUGUAACGGUAAAAUGUGUUAAUAUUGGCAAGAACACCAGAAGCGAAAGCGGUUGACUGGUACAAUCCUGACGUUGUUGCACGAAAGCGUGGGGAGCGAAUGGGAUCGAUCUGGUCCCUUCCGAUAGUGAUAUCGGAAUGAGAAUUUGGCUAUAUGCUGGAAUAUCUGUGUAUCUCAAACUACUUAUUUGAUAUAAUU
This 836-nucleotide ribosomal RNA is filed under the name Candidatus Buchananbacteria bacterium. RNAcentral describes it as "bacterial SSU rRNA". It matches the Rfam family "Bacterial small subunit ribosomal RNA", at positions 1 to 847 of the family's 1533-position model. Lineage: Bacteria; Candidatus Buchananiibacteriota. The record is from RNAcentral.